This 492-nucleotide ribosomal RNA is filed under the name uncultured bacterium. RNAcentral's name for it is "partial 16S ribosomal RNA". It matches the Rfam family "Bacterial small subunit ribosomal RNA", at positions 29 to 507 of the family's 1533-position model. The record is from RNAcentral.
AGUGAACGCUGGCGGUAGGCCUAACACAUGCAAGUCGAACGGCAGCACAGUAAGAGCUUGCUCUUACGGGUGGCGAGUGGCGGACGGGUGAGGAAUACAUCGGAAUCUACUUUUUCGUGGGGGAUAACGUAGGGAAACUUACGCUAAUACCGCAUACGACCUACGGGUGAAAGCAGUGGAUCUUCGGACUUUGCGCGAUUGAAUGAGCCGAUGUCGGAUUAGCUAGUUGGCGGUGUAAAGGCCCACCAAGGCGACGAUCCGUAGCUGGUCUGAGAGGAUGAUCAGCCACACUGGAACUGAGACACGGUACAGAGUCCUGCGGGAGGCAGCAGUGGGGAAGAUUGGACAAUGGGAGCAAGCAUGAUCCAGACAAACCGCGUGAGAGAAGAAGGCAUUCGGGUUGUAAAAGCCUUUUGUUGGGAAAGAAAAGGAGCAGGUGAAUACCCCGCGGUAUUGACGGUACCCAAAAAGUAAGCACAGGCUAACUUCGUG